Molecule: small RNA, 756 nt
Filed under: Pan troglodytes (chimpanzee)
Lineage: Eukaryota; Metazoa; Chordata; Mammalia; Primates; Hominidae
Description: retained intron
Source: RNAcentral
GCGUACGAGCGCGGCAUCUCGCUGUUCAAGUGGCCCAACGUGUCCGACAUCUGGAGCACCUACCUGACCAAAUUCAUUGCCCGCUAUGGGGGCCGCAAGCUGGAGCGGGCACGGGACCUGUUUGAACAGGCUCUGGACGGCUGCCCCCCAAAAUAUGCCAAGACCUUGUACCUGCUGUACGCACAGCUGGAGGAGGAGUGGGGCCUGGCCCGGCAUGCCAUGGCCGUGUACGAGCGCGCCACCAGGGCCGUGGAGCCCGCCCAGCAGUACGACAUGUUCAACAUCUACAUCAAGCGGGCGGCCGAGAUCUAUGGGGUCACCCACACCCGUGGCAUCUACCAGAAGGCCAUUGAGGUGCUGUCGGACGAGCACGCGCGUGAGAUGUGCCUGCGGUUUGCAGACAUGGAGUGCAAGCUCGGGGAGAUUGACCGGGCCCGGGCCAUCUACAGCUUCUGCUCCCAGAUCUGUGACCCCCGGGUAGGGCUCGGGGCUGUGGGGAGGGACGGGUAUCAGGGUUGGGGGCUGUGGCGGAGUCAGCCAGCUCACGGGCACACACACCCACCCCUGCCCUGCCCCCCACGCAGACGACCGGCGCAUUCUGGCAGACGUGGAAGGACUUUGAGGUCCGGCAUGGCAAUGAGGACACCAUCAAGGAAAUGCUGCGUAUCCGGCGCAGCGUGCAGGCCACGUACAACACGCAGGUCAACUUCAUGGCCUCGCAGAUGCUCAAGGUCUCGGGCAGUGCCACGGGCACCG